Molecule: non-coding RNA, 63 nt
Filed under: human gut metagenome
Also listed under: 1 other name
Description: Glycine riboswitch
Rfam family: Glycine riboswitch aptamer
About the family: This family represents the bacterial glycine riboswitch. Glycine riboswitches usually consist of two metabolite-binding aptamers domains with similar structures in tandem.
Source: RNAcentral
AGAAAGCGGGAGAGCGCGUCAUCGCCGCCGAAGGUGCAAAACUCUCAGGCAACAGGACCGUUU